This 73-nucleotide transfer RNA is filed under the name Clostridiales bacterium. RNAcentral's name for it is "tRNA-Ala". It matches the Rfam family "tRNA". Rfam says of the family: Transfer RNA (tRNA) molecules are approximately 80 nucleotides in length. Their secondary structure includes four short double-helical elements and three loops (D, anti-codon, and T loops). Lineage: Bacteria; Bacillati; Bacillota; Clostridia; Eubacteriales. The record is from RNAcentral.
GGGGAUAUAGCUCAGCUGGGAGAGCACUUGAAUGGCAUUCAAGGGGUCAAGGGUUCGAGUCCCUCUAUCUCCA